GACGAACGCUGGCGGCGUGCUUAACACAUGCAAGUCGAACGAAAAGAGGGAAAGCGCUUGCUCUUUCCGGAAUUGAGUGGCAAACGGGUGAGUAACACGUAAACAACCUGCCUUCAGGAUGGGGACAACAGACGGAAACGACUGCUAAUACCGAAUAAGUUCCAAGGGCCGCUUGGCCCAUGGAAGAAAAGUUGGCCUCUACCUUUAAGCUAUCGCCUGAACAUGGGUUUGCGCCGGAUUAGCCGGUUGGAGGGGUAACGGCCAACCAAGGCAACGUAAAGUAGCCGUCCGGGGAGAUUGACCGCCCACAUGGGAUUGGGAACCGGUCCAGAAUUCCUACGGAGGGAGCCGUGGGGGAAUUUCCGCCAAGGGGGGAAGGCCGACGGAGGCACGCCGCGUGGGUGGAGGCGGCCUUUGGGUUGUAAAACUCUGUUAUCCGGGACGAAAAGGCAGAGUGCGAAGAACAAACUGUAUUGACGGUACCGAAAAAGCAAGCCACGGCUAACUACGUG
RNAcentral lists this ribosomal RNA (512 nucleotides) under uncultured bacterium. RNAcentral's name for it is "partial 16S ribosomal RNA". It matches the Rfam family "Bacterial small subunit ribosomal RNA", at positions 28 to 507 of the family's 1533-position model. The record is from RNAcentral.